RNAcentral lists this transfer RNA (77 nucleotides) under bacterium. RNAcentral describes it as "tRNA-Arg". It matches the Rfam family "tRNA". From Rfam's summary of the family: Transfer RNA (tRNA) molecules are approximately 80 nucleotides in length. The record is from RNAcentral.
GUGCCCAUAGCUCAACUGGAUAGAGCGUCUGGCUACGGACCAGGAGGCUGGGGGUUCGAAUCCUCCUGGGCACGCCA